GACCAUGUGGCCUAAUGGACAAGGCGUCUGACUUCGGAUCAAAAGAUUGAGGGUUCAAAUCCCUUCAUGGUUG
Molecule: transfer RNA, 73 nt
Filed under: Oryzias latipes (Japanese medaka)
Lineage: Eukaryota; Metazoa; Chordata; Actinopteri; Beloniformes; Adrianichthyidae
Description: tRNA-Arg (TCG) (tRNA-Arg-TCG-16-1)
Rfam family: tRNA
About the family: Transfer RNA (tRNA) molecules are approximately 80 nucleotides in length.
Source: Rfam by way of RNAcentral